RNAcentral lists this ribosomal RNA (253 nucleotides) under uncultured bacterium. Its description in RNAcentral is "partial 16S ribosomal RNA". It matches the Rfam family "Bacterial small subunit ribosomal RNA", at positions 524 to 776 of the family's 1533-position model. The record is from RNAcentral.
GACGGAGGUGGCAAGCGUUGCUCGGAUUCAUUGGGUGUAAAGGGCAUGUAGGCGGCCUGGUAAGUCCUGAUUGAAAUCCUCCAGCUCAACUGGAGAACUGGUCGGGAAACUGCCUGGCUAGAGUGCGGAAGAGGAGAGCGGAAUUCCCGGUGUAAGAGUGAAAUCUGUAGAGAUCGGGAGGAACACCAGUGGCGAAGGCGGCUCUCUGGUCCGCAACUGACGCUGAGAGGCGAAAGCUAGGGGAGCAAACAGG